This 263-nucleotide long non-coding RNA is filed under the name Mytilus galloprovincialis (Mediterranean mussel). Lineage: Eukaryota; Metazoa; Mollusca; Bivalvia; Mytilida; Mytilidae. The record is from RNAcentral.
GUGGAUAUUUGAUUCAUCUGACAUGAAUAUCCAUGUCUGAUUUUUUGCUUUGUUCGGUAUGGUAACACUAUUCAUUUCACUAUGAUGAAACAACACAGCGUCGCUUCUGUUCAGAUCAGCUAUGUUGUUUAAUAAUUCACAAUGAUUAAAUGCACAGUUUCGAAAUUUGUAUUUGUACAAAUAUGCCGCUAUCCAAAAUGUUUUUGUAUACCAUAACACAGUAAAAAUCUUUGUGAAUUCCUUCUUAUUUGUCGUCAUUUCAU